RNAcentral lists this ribosomal RNA (218 nucleotides) under Pheidole lovejoyi. RNAcentral's name for it is "partial large subunit ribosomal RNA". Lineage: Eukaryota; Metazoa; Arthropoda; Insecta; Hymenoptera; Formicidae. The record is from RNAcentral.
GAAUUUUAUAUAAAUUUGAUAAUAAUUAUUUAAUAUAAGAUUUGUUGAGUUUAUAUUUUAUUGGGAGGAUAUUUAAAUUUAAUAAACUUUAAAAGUAAAAAGUCAUUAAUUUAUGAAGUAGAGGAUUUAAGAAUGAUAAAGAAAUUUAAAUAGAAUUAAUUACCUUAGGGAUAACAGCGUUAUAUUUUUAGAGAGAUCUUAUUAAUAAAAAUGGUUGC